GAUCCUGGCUCAGGAUGAACGCUAGCGACAGGCUUAACACAUGCAAGUCGAGGGGCAUCAUGAGGUAGCAAUACCUUGAUGGCGACCGGCGCACGGGUGAGUAACGCGUAUGCAACCUGCCCGAUACCGGGGUAUAGCCCAUGGAAACGUGGAUUAACACCCCAUAGUACUUUUAUCCUGCAUGGGAUGGGAGUUAAAUAUUCAAGGUAUCGGAUGGGCAUGCGUCCUAUUAGUUAGUUGGG
This 242-nucleotide ribosomal RNA is filed under the name uncultured bacterium. Its description in RNAcentral is "partial 16S ribosomal RNA". It matches the Rfam family "Bacterial small subunit ribosomal RNA", at positions 15 to 253 of the family's 1533-position model. The record is from RNAcentral.